UUCCUUUUGAAGUUUAUUGAAGGUAAGCCCUGCCCGGUGUCAUGUAAGUGAUAAACGGCGGCCUUAGCGUGAGGGUCCGAAGGUAGCAUAAUAAGUUGGUUUUUAAUUGGAGCCUUGAAUGAAUGGGUUUACGUAAUAACGACUGUGUCAUGGUUAUUUCAUUGAAAUUAACUUUUAGGUGAAAAGGCCUAAAUAAGUAAAAAAGACGACAAGACCCUAGAAUCUUUACGAUUAUUAGCGUUUAUAUCAUGUAGCUUACAGUUAAGCGUAAUUAAAGUUUUGUUGGGGCAACAGGGUGAGUAAGUCUUGCCUAUAUUUCUAGUUUUAAUGUAUUGAUUUGAAGUUUAUUUUUACUUAACAAGUUUUCAGCCGUUAUAUUGUGAAAAUGAUUAAGUUACUCUAGGGAUAACAGCGCUAUAUCUUUUAAAAGCUCUUAUUGAAAAAGAUGUUUGCGACCUCGAUGUUGGCUUAGGAUAUCCUGCAGGUGCAGCAGCUUGCAAGGGUUGGUCUGUUCGCCCAUAAAAAUCCUACA
RNAcentral lists this ribosomal RNA (532 nucleotides) under Leiosolenus bisulcatus. Its description in RNAcentral is "partial large subunit ribosomal RNA". It matches the Rfam family "Bacterial large subunit ribosomal RNA", at positions 1829 to 2600 of the family's 2925-position model. The record is from RNAcentral. Lineage: Eukaryota; Metazoa; Mollusca; Bivalvia; Mytilida; Modiolidae.